RNAcentral lists this small RNA (814 nucleotides) under uncultured Davidiella. RNAcentral describes it as "eukaryotic LSU rRNA". The stretch from base 532 to 814 matches the Rfam family "Eukaryotic large subunit ribosomal RNA", at positions 1 to 281 of the family's 3401-position model. Lineage: Eukaryota; Fungi; Ascomycota; Dothideomycetes; Cladosporiales; Cladosporiaceae. The record is from RNAcentral.
CUUGGUCAUUUAGAGGAAGUAAAAGUCGUAACAAGGUCUCCGUAGGUGAACCUGCGGAGGGAUCAUUACAAGAACGCCCGGGCUUCGGCCUGGUUAUUCAUAACCCUUUGUUGUCCGACUCUGUUGCCUCCGGGGCGACCCUGCCUUCGGGCGGGGGCUCCGGGUGGACACUUCAAACUCUUGCGUAACUUUGCAGUCUGAGUAAACUUAAUUAAUAAAUUAAAACUUUUAACAACGGAUCUCUUGGUUCUGGCAUCGAUGAAGAACGCAGCGAAAUGCGAUAAGUAAUGUGAAUUGCAGAAUUCAGUGAAUCAUCGAAUCUUUGAACGCGCAUUGCGCCCCCUGGUAUUCCGGGGGGCAUGCCUGUUCGAGCGUCAUUUCACCACUCAAGCCUCGCUUGGUAUUGGGCAACGCGGUCCGCCGCGUGCCUCAAAUCGUCCGGCUGGGUCUUCUGUCCCCUAAGCGUUGUGGAAACUAUUCGCUAAAGGGUGUUCGGGAGGCUACGCCGUAAAACAACCCCAUUUCUAAGGUUGACCUCGGAUCAGGUAGGGAUACCCGCUGAACUUAAGCAUAUCAAUAAGCGGAGGAAAAGAAACCAACAGGGAUUGCUCUAGUAACGGCGAGUGAAGCAGCAAUAGCUCAAAUUUGAAAUCUGGCGUCUUCGACGUCCGAGUUGUAAUUUGUAGAGGAUGCUUCUGAGUGGCCACCGACCUAAGUUCCUUGGAACAGGACGUCAUAGAGGGUGAGAAUCCCGUAUGCGGUCGGAAAGGCGCUCUAUACGUAGCUCCUUCGACGAGUCGAGUUGUUUGGGAAU